RNAcentral lists this ribosomal RNA (322 nucleotides) under uncultured Coriobacteriales bacterium. RNAcentral describes it as "partial 16S ribosomal RNA". Lineage: Bacteria; Bacillati; Actinomycetota; Coriobacteriia; Coriobacteriales. The record is from RNAcentral.
GGAGUAUGGACCGUGUCUCAGUUCCAUUGUGGCCGUUCAUCCUCUCAGACCGGCUACCGAUCGUCGGCUUGGUAGGCCUUUACCCCACCAACUACCUAAUCGGACGCAGGCUCCUCGCAAAGCGAUAAAUCUUUAGUGUAAAUUUCAUGCGAAUCCUACACAACAUUCGGUAUUAGCGUCCCUUUCGGAACGUUGUCCCCAUCUUUGCGGCAGAUUACCUGCGCUUUACUCACCCGUUCGCCACUAGCACCGAAGUGCCCGUUCGACUUGCAUGUGUUAAGCACGCCGCCAGCGUUCGUCCUCGAGCCAUGAUCAAACUACU